AUUGAACGCUGGCGGCAUGCCUUACACAUGCAAGUCGUACGGUAACAGUUCAUCGGAUGCUGACGAGUGGCGAACGGGUGAGUAAUACAUCGGAACGUGCCUAGUAGUGGGGGAUAACUACUCGAAAGAGUGGCUAAUACCGCAUGAGAUCAACGGAGGAAAGCAGGGGAACGCCAGACAUUGUGCUACCAGAGCGGCUGUUGGCAGAUUAGGUGGUUGGUGGGAUAAAAGCUUGCAAAGCCGACGAUCUGUAGCUGGUCUGGGAGGACGAUCAGCCACACUGGGACUGAGAAACGGCCCAGACUCCUACGGGAGGCAGCAGUGGGGAAUUUUGGACAAUGGGCGCAAGCCUGAUCCAGCAAUGCCGCGUGCAGGAUGAAGGCCUUCGGGUUGUAAACUGCUUUUGUACGGAACGAAAAGCCCCGGGUUAAUACCCUGGGGUCAUGACGGUACCGUAAGAAUAAGCACCGGCUAACUACGUGCCAGCCGCCGCAGUAA
This 498-nucleotide ribosomal RNA is filed under the name uncultured bacterium. RNAcentral describes it as "partial 16S ribosomal RNA". It matches the Rfam family "Bacterial small subunit ribosomal RNA", at positions 30 to 523 of the family's 1533-position model. The record is from RNAcentral.